CAUAUUGCUGGGACAGAACUGGUCUGGUUUAAAUCUGUCCCACAGAUUCCAGUUUGUUUUCUUCUUCACACUCCAGGGAUACUUAUGGAGUCCCACAGGGUUGUGGCUCGAUCCAUUUCUCUUCCAGUCGGUGAGAUGAUGUCAGCAGGCUGAUGGGCGGAGCCAGCCUUCCAGAGAAGUCAGCUUCCUGCCAGACUGGGUAGAGCUGGCAGGAAGGCUGCAGCGACUCGGAGAAGAUCUCUGUCCCACUGAGCGCAGCAGCAGAGUCUCCUCCUACAGACUGCAGAGCUGCUGGACUCCAGCUGUGAACCUCAGUACAUUCCAUCUGUGGAAACAUGGAAAACCUGGCUGUGAUCUGCUUCUUGGCUGUCCUUGGUCAGAGCUUGGAAGCUGAUAUUACUGCCAUCAGAUCUGAAGUGUUUCCAUCAGAGGGAGGCAAAGUCACUCUGUCCUGUAACUAUUCAGUUAAAGCAGACAACCUCCAGUGGUAUCGACAAGAUCCUGGAUCAGCUCCUCGCUUCCUUCUCCUUAUAACUGAUACUACAGAUCCAACUGUGGUGAAAGCAGAACCUCCAAACGCUCGACUGACUGCAGGAUUGAACAAGGAGAGAAACCGAUUGGAUCUGCUGAUCUCCUCUGCUGCAGUGACAGACUCUGCUGUGUAUUACUGCGCUCUGCAGCCCACAGUGACAGGAAACACCAGAACCCUGUACAAAAUCCUGCAGUACUCCACAGCGGCCACUAGAGGGCCUCACUCCCUGUUAAACCACUAAAACCUGCAGUACUCCACAGCAGCCACUAGAGGGCCUCACUCCCUGUUAAUCCUCUGGUUGUUGAGUCUUUGAACUGAAGACAACAGAGACAUGAAGCAGUAAAGAUCAGAGACAGAGCUGCUGAGGAAGCAGAAAACUCUCUGAUUGGUCGAGGUGAAGUGGCCCCGCCCACUGACCUUCAGCUCAUCCAAUGACAUCAUUUCUGCUGCAGUGGAAGAAUAUUGCUGAUCUGCUUGUUCUCUCAGUUUAACUUUGGGAGAGCUCCUGCGUCUCCUGUCCUUCGUCGUUCCGACCUUCAGGAAGGUUAAUAGAUAACCAACUGUCACCUGUCAAUGUCCCCCUGGGAAAGGCGUUUAACCCCAGGUUGUCUGUGAUCUGAGUUGCAUGUGAAUGUCUUUAUUGGUGCAACUCCAGGUCCAGUGGAAGACGAAUACAUCGGCAUUUCUUUGCUCUCCUGCAGACGAUGGUGGAGACACAGAUGAUGUCAUCUGAUUUUUAUGUGCAUCUUGGUGGAAACAAGUUUACGGUUGAAAUGGUCCAACAGCGAAAGGUUUUUUAAUGAGGUGUGAUUAUUUCUACAUACUGAAUGUCAUCAGGACAAGAUCUAAAGUCUGAUGACAGAAGUGGACAGGUCUGUGGAUUCUUUGAGUAAAACCAACUGAGUCUAAGAUAACAAUGAUGUUACAUCUUAUCACCCUCAGUGUCAGAAUAAACAUUAAAAUGCCCCACUAUAAUAAUCUUA
Non-coding RNA from Poecilia latipinna (sailfin molly), 1515 nucleotides. NCBI's taxonomy places the organism in Eukaryota, Metazoa, Chordata, Actinopteri, Cyprinodontiformes, Poeciliidae. The record is from the annotation of a RefSeq genome assembly.